RNAcentral lists this ribosomal RNA (379 nucleotides) under uncultured bacterium. Its description in RNAcentral is "bacterial SSU rRNA". It matches the Rfam family "Bacterial small subunit ribosomal RNA", at positions 521 to 898 of the family's 1533-position model. The record is from RNAcentral.
UAAUACGUAGGUGGCAAGCGUUGUCCGGAUUUAUUGGGCGUAAAGCGCGCGCAGGCGGUCCUUUAAGUCUGAUGUGAAAUCUUGCGGCUCAACCGCAAGCGGUCAUUGGAAACUGGGGGACUUGAGUGCAGAAGAGGAAAGCGGAAUUCCACGUGUAGCGGUGAAAUGCGUAGAGAUGUGGAGGAACACCAGUGGCGAAGGCGGCUUUCUGGUCUGUAACUGACGCUGAGGCGCGAAAGCGUGGGGAGCAAACAGGAUUAGAUACCCUGGUAGUCCACGCCGUAAACGAUGAGUGCUAAGUGUUGGAAGGUUUCCGCCCUUCAGUGCUGCAGCUAACGCAUUAAGCACUCCGCCUGGGGAGUACGGUCGCAAGACUGAA